CUACGGGACGCUGCAGUAAGGAAUAUUGCGCAAUGGAGGCAACUCUGACGCAGCCAUGCCGCGUGCAGGAAGAAGGCCUUAUGGGUCGUAAACUGCUUUUAUUUAGGAAUAAACCCCCGAACGUGUUCGGGGCUGAAGGUACUAAACGAAUAAGCACCGGCUAACUCUGUGCCGGCAGCCGCGGUAAUACGGAGGGUGCAAGCGUUAUCCGGAUUUAUUGGGUUUAAAGGGUGCGCAGGCGGGCUAUUAAGUCAGUGGUGAAAUCCCGGGGCUCAACUCCGGAACUGCCAUUGAUACUGAUAGUCUUGAGUUUGGUUGAAGUGGGCGGAAUGUAGCAUGUAGCGGUGAAAUGCAUAGAUAUGCUACAGAACACCAAUCGCGAAGGCAGCUCACUAAGCCAAAACUGACGCUCACGCACGAAAGCGUGGGGAUCAAACAGGAUUAGAUACCCUUGUAGUC
RNAcentral lists this ribosomal RNA (459 nucleotides) under uncultured bacterium. RNAcentral's name for it is "partial 16S ribosomal RNA". It matches the Rfam family "Bacterial small subunit ribosomal RNA", at positions 339 to 795 of the family's 1533-position model. The record is from RNAcentral.